Molecule: ribosomal RNA, 99 nt
Filed under: uncultured bacterium
Lineage: Bacteria
Description: partial 16S ribosomal RNA
Rfam family: Bacterial small subunit ribosomal RNA
Source: RNAcentral
UACACACCGCCCGUCACACCAUGGAAGUUGGUUGCACCAGAAGUCGGUCGCUUAACCGCAAGGAGAGGGCCGCCCACGGUGUGGCUAAUGACUGGGGUG